GACGAACGCUGGCGGCGUGCCUAAUACAUGCAAGUAGAACGCACAGUUUAUACCGUAGCUUGCUACACCAUAAACUGUGAGUUGCGAACGGGUGAGUAACGCGUAGGUAACCUGCCUGGUAGCGGGGGAUAACUAUUGGAAACGAUAGCUAAUACCGCAUAAUAUUGAUUAUUGCAUGAUAAUUGAUUGAAAGAUGCUAUUGCAUCACUACCAGAUGGACCUGCGUUGUAUUAGCUAGUAGGUGAGGUAACGGCUCACCUAGGCGACGAUACAUAGCCGACCUGAGAGGGUGAUCGGCCACACUGGGACUGAGACACGGCCCAGACUACUACGGGAGACAGCAGGAGGGAAUCUUCGGCAAUGGACGAAAGUCUGACCGGGCAACGCCGCGUGAGUGAAGAAGGUUUUCGGGUCGUAAAGCUCAGUAGUAAGAGAAGAACGGGUGUGAGAGUGGAAAGUUCACACUGUGACGGUAUCUUACCAGAAAGGGACGGCUAACUACGUG
This 505-nucleotide ribosomal RNA is filed under the name uncultured bacterium. RNAcentral describes it as "partial 16S ribosomal RNA". It matches the Rfam family "Bacterial small subunit ribosomal RNA", at positions 28 to 507 of the family's 1533-position model. The record is from RNAcentral.